UCAACAUCCGGUUGACUUUUCCAAACUAAUUCUUCCUUAAAGAGACUAAUUGUCCCAUUUCAUACCAAACUCGAUCCGAAUUGACUCAAAUUCACCAAGUACACAUAUUAAAACAUGAAUAAGUAUUUAACGGGUAAUACAGGACGAAAAUACAGGAAACAACGGUUCGGGUCGUUACACUUAUCCUACGAGUUUAAACAUAAACUAAAAGUUCAAUUUAUAUCCUAAAUGUUCAAUUCAUAUCCACAAAAGUUUAAGUCAUAUCCUAAAAUUUCUAUUUAUAUCCUAAAAAUUCAACUCAUAUCAUAAAAGUUUCAAUUUGUAUCCUACAAGUUCGAUUCACAAGAACAAAACCUAAAAACUAAAAGUUAUAUUCAUAUCCUACGAGUUUAAACAUAAACUAAAAGUUCAAGUCAUAUCCUAAAGGUUCAAUACAUAUGCUAAAGGUUCAAUUUAUUUUCUAAAAGUUCAACUCAUAUCCUAAAAGUUUCAAUUCAUAUCCUAAAAGGUUCAAGUCAUACAUAAAAGCUUCAAUUUAUAUCCUACAAGUUCAAUUCACAAGAAAAAAAAACUAAAAACUAAAAGUUAUAUUCAUAUCUUAUGAGUUUAAACAUAAACUAAAACUUCAAGUCAUAUCCUAAAGGUUCAAUACAUAUCACAAAGGUUCAAUUUAUUUCCUAAAAGUUCAACUCAUAUCCUAAAAGUUUCAACUCAUAUCGUAAAAAGUUCAAGUCAUACAUA
RNAcentral lists this long non-coding RNA (741 nucleotides) under Nicotiana tabacum (common tobacco). RNAcentral describes it as "long non-coding RNA (NTAB_LNC012138)". The record is from RNAcentral. Lineage: Eukaryota; Viridiplantae; Streptophyta; Magnoliopsida; Solanales; Solanaceae.